CAAGUAUUAAAGGUCCCGCCUGCCCAGUGAUACAUUCAACGGCCGCGGUAUUCUAACCGUGCAAAGGUAGCGUAAUCAUUUGUCUUCUAAAUAAAGACCAGUAUGAACGGCUAAAUGAGGACAGGCCUGUCUCUUACGACUAAUCAGUGAAACUGAUCUCCCAGUACAAAAGCUGGGAUAAAAACACCAGACGAGAAGACCCCGUGGAGCUUCAAACCAGCAGUUAAAAAGCACCCCCACACGACACCUAACAACGCGGUUUUAAGUUGGGGCGACUUCGGAACAAAACAAAACUUCCAAGCACAGAACCACAAGUUCUGACAGAGGCCCACUGGCCAAAGUCAAAACAAUACCAGACCCAGUACCACUGAUCAACGAACCAAGUUACCCCGGGGAUAACAGCGCCAUCUUCUUCGAGAGUCCAUAUCGACAAGAAGGUUUACGACCUCGAUGUUGGAUCAGGACACCCAAAUGGUGAAGCCGCUAUUAAAGGUUCGUUUGUUCAACGAUUAAUAGUCCUACGUGAUCUGAGUUCAGACCGGAGCAAUCCAGGUCGGUU
This 559-nucleotide ribosomal RNA is filed under the name Madascincus melanopleura. RNAcentral describes it as "partial 16S ribosomal RNA". It matches the Rfam family "Bacterial large subunit ribosomal RNA", at positions 1840 to 2636 of the family's 2925-position model. The record is from RNAcentral. Lineage: Eukaryota; Metazoa; Chordata; Lepidosauria; Squamata; Scincidae.